Molecule: ribosomal RNA, 322 nt
Filed under: uncultured eukaryote
Lineage: Eukaryota
Description: partial 18S ribosomal RNA
Rfam family: Eukaryotic small subunit ribosomal RNA
Source: RNAcentral
CCCUUAGAUGUUCUGGGCCGCACGCGCGUUACACUGAUGCAUUCAACGAGUUUUUCCUGGUCCGAGAGGAAUGGGUAACCUUUUGAAAGUGCAUCGUGCUAGGGAUAGACUAUUGCAAUUAUUGGUCUUCAACGAGGAAUUCCUAGUAGACGUAGUUCAUCAGACUGCAUCGAUUACGUCCCUGCCCUUUGUACACACCGCCCGUCGCUCCUACCGAUUGGAUGAUCCGGUGAGCUAUUCGGACCUUCGCUUCGUCGAUUUUCGGCUUUGUGAGGGAAAGUCUCGCGAACCUUAUCAUCUAGAGGAAGGAGAAGUCGUAACA